Molecule: ribosomal RNA, 449 nt
Filed under: uncultured bacterium
Lineage: Bacteria
Description: partial 16S ribosomal RNA
Rfam family: Bacterial small subunit ribosomal RNA
Source: RNAcentral
AACGAACGCUGGCGGCAGGCUUAACACAUGCAAGUCGAACGCAUCCUUCGGGGUGAGUGGCAGACGGGUGAGUAACGCGUGGGAACGUGCCCUUCAGUUCGGGAUAACCCAGGGAAACUUGGGCUAAUACCGGAUACGUGCGAGAGCAGAAAGAUUUAUCGCUGAAGGAUCGGCCCGCGUCUGAUUAGCUAGUUGGUGGGGUAAUGGCCCACCAAGGCGACGAUCAGUAGCUGGUCUGAGAGGAUGAUCAGCCACAUUGGGACUGAGACACGGCCCAAACUCCCAGGGGGGGCAGCGGGGGGGAAUAUGGGACAAGGGGGGCAAGCCUGACCCAGCCAGGCGGCGGGGGGGAUGAAGGCCUUAGGGUUGUAAAGCUCUUUCGUCCGGGAGGAUAAUGACGGUACCGGAAGAAGAAGCCCCGGCUAACUUCGUGCCAGCCGCCGCCGUAA